AACGAACGCUGGCGGCAUGCCUAACACAUGCAAGUCGAACGAGACAUUCGGGUCUAGUGGCGCACGGGUGCGUAACGCGUGGGAACCUGCCCUUAGGUUCGGAAUAACUCCCCGAAAGGGGUGCUAAUACCGGAUAAUGUCUUCGGACCAAAGAUUUAUCGCCUUUGGAUGGGCCCGCGUUGGAUUAGCUAGUUGGUAGGGUAAAAGCCUACCAAGGCGACGAUCCAUAGCUGGUCUGAGAGGAUGAUCAGCCACACUGGGACUGAGACACGGCCCAGACUCCUACGGGAGGCAGCAGUGGGGAAUAUUGGACAAUGGGCGAAAGCCUGAUCCAGCAAUGCCGCGUGAGUGAUGAAGGCCUUAGGGUUGUAAAGCUCUGUUACCCGGGAUGAUAAUGACAGUACCGGGAGAAUAAGCUCCGGCUAACUCCGUG
Molecule: ribosomal RNA, 433 nt
Filed under: uncultured bacterium
Lineage: Bacteria
Description: partial 16S ribosomal RNA
Rfam family: Bacterial small subunit ribosomal RNA
Source: RNAcentral